GAUGAACGCUGGCGGUAUGCUUAACACAUGCAAGUCGAACGGACUCUUCGGAGUUAGUGGCGGACGGGUGAGUAACGCGUGAGAAUCUGGCUUUGGGUUCGGGACAACCACUGGAAACGGUGGCUAAUACCGGAUGUGCCGAGAGGUAAAAGAGAAAUUGCCUGAAGAUGAGCUCGCGUCUGAUUAGCUAGUUGGUGAGGUAAAGGCUCACCAAGGCAGCGAUCAGUAGCAGGUCUGAGAGGAUGACCAGCCACACUGGGACUGAGACACGGCCCAGACUCCUACGGGAGGCAGCAGUGGGGAAUUUUCCGCAAUGGGCGAAAGCCUGACGGAGCAAUACCGCGUGAGGGAAGAAGGCUCUUGGGUUGUAAACCUCUUUUCUUAGGGAAGAACAAAAUGACGGUACCUAAGGAAUCAGCAUCGGCUAACUCCGUG
This 435-nucleotide ribosomal RNA is filed under the name uncultured bacterium. RNAcentral's name for it is "partial 16S ribosomal RNA". It matches the Rfam family "Bacterial small subunit ribosomal RNA", at positions 28 to 507 of the family's 1533-position model. The record is from RNAcentral.